GGCGCGAGCGUUGUCCGGAAUUAUUGGGCGUAAAGAGCUCGUAGGCGGCUUGUCGCGUCGGUUGUGAAAGCCCGGGGCUUAACCCCGGGUCUGCAGUCGAUACGGGCAGGCUAGAGUUCGGUAGGGGAGAUCGGAAUUCCUGGUGUAGCGGUGAAAUGCGCAGAUAUCAGGAGGAACACCGGUGGCGAAGGCGGAUCUCUGGGCCGAUACUGACGCUGAGGAGCGAAAGCGUGGGGAGCGAACAGGAUUAGAUACCCUGGUAGUCCACGCCGUAAACGGUGGGCACUAGGUGUGGGCGACAUUCCACGUCGUCCGUGCCGCAGCUAACGCAUUAAGUGCCCCGCCUGGGGAGUACGGCCGCAAGGCUAAAACUCAAAGGAAUUGACGGGGGCCCGCACAAGCGGCGGAGCAUGUGGCUUAAUUCGACGCAACGCGAAGAACCUUACCAA
RNAcentral lists this ribosomal RNA (449 nucleotides) under Streptomyces cyaneus. RNAcentral's name for it is "bacterial SSU rRNA". It matches the Rfam family "Bacterial small subunit ribosomal RNA", at positions 531 to 977 of the family's 1533-position model. Lineage: Bacteria; Bacillati; Actinomycetota; Actinomycetes; Kitasatosporales; Streptomycetaceae. The record is from RNAcentral.